RNAcentral lists this ribosomal RNA (323 nucleotides) under uncultured microorganism. RNAcentral describes it as "bacterial SSU rRNA". It matches the Rfam family "Archaeal small subunit ribosomal RNA", at positions 329 to 655 of the family's 1478-position model. The record is from RNAcentral.
GCGUCAGCAGUCGCGAAACCUCCUCAAUGCACUCACGUGCGAAGGGGUUACCUCGAGUGCCGCCUGAAGAAGGCGGCUUUUCCAUGGUCUAAAAAGCCUAGGGAAUAAGAGGGGGCAAGACUGGUGUCAGCCGCCGCGGUAACACCAGCCCCUCGAGUGGUGGGGAUGAUUAUUUGGCCUAAAGCGUCCGUAGCCGGCCGGGUAAGUCUCCCGUUAAAUCCAGCGUCUCAAGCGUUGGACUGCGGGAGAUACUGUCUGGCUAGAGAGUGGGAGAGGUGUACGGUAUUCUGGGGGUAGGGGCGAAAUCCUUUGAUCCCCGGAGG